RNAcentral lists this ribosomal RNA (185 nucleotides) under uncultured Bacteroidota bacterium. RNAcentral describes it as "uncultured Bacteroidetes bacterium partial 16S ribosomal RNA". Lineage: Bacteria; Pseudomonadati; Bacteroidota. The record is from RNAcentral.
GGACCUUCCUCUCAGAACCCCUAUCCAUCGUAGGCUAGGUGGGCCGUUACCCCGCCUACUACCUAAUGGAACGCAUCCCCAUCGUACACCGAUAAAUCUUUAAUCUUAAUUACAUGUGUGCUUAAGAUACCAUCAGGUAUUAAUCUUUCUUUCGAAAGGCUAUCCCUGAGUGUACGGAAGGUUGG